UGCGUAGGCGGAACUUUAAGUCAGUGGUGAAAUCCUGCGGCUCAACCGUAGAACUGCCAUUGAUACUGAUGUUCUUGAAUGCAGUUGAGGUAGGCGGAAUGUGUAAUGUAGCGGUGAAAUGCUUAGAUAUUACACAGAACACCGAUUGUGAAGGCAGCUUGCUAAACUGUGAUUGACGCUGAUGCACGAAAGCGUGGGGAGCGAACAGGAUUAGAUACCCUGGUAGUCC
This 229-nucleotide ribosomal RNA is filed under the name uncultured bacterium. RNAcentral's name for it is "partial 16S ribosomal RNA". It matches the Rfam family "Bacterial small subunit ribosomal RNA", at positions 568 to 796 of the family's 1533-position model. The record is from RNAcentral.